This 219-nucleotide ribosomal RNA is filed under the name uncultured bacterium. RNAcentral's name for it is "partial 16S ribosomal RNA". It matches the Rfam family "Bacterial small subunit ribosomal RNA", at positions 28 to 250 of the family's 1533-position model. The record is from RNAcentral.
GACGAACGCUGGCGGCGUGCUUAACACAUGCAAGUCGAGCGGUAAGGCCCUCGGGUACGACGAGCGGCGAACGGGUGAGUAACACGUGGGUGACCUGCCUCUAGCUCUGGGAUAAGCCUGGGGAACGUGGGUCUAAUACCGGAUAUGACUCCAUGACGCAUGUUGUGGGGUGGAAAGCCUUGUGCGGCUGAGGAUGGGCCCGCGGCCUAUCAGCUUGUU